GCCCUCGUAGCUCAGUGGAUAGAGCAUUCGCCUCCUAAGCGAAGGGUCACAGGUUCAACUCCUGUCGAGGGCA
RNAcentral lists this transfer RNA (73 nucleotides) under Methylovorus glucosotrophus. RNAcentral's name for it is "tRNA-Arg". It matches the Rfam family "tRNA". From Rfam's summary of the family: Transfer RNA (tRNA) molecules are approximately 80 nucleotides in length. RNAcentral also lists the same sequence under 1 other name. The record is from RNAcentral. Lineage: Bacteria; Pseudomonadati; Pseudomonadota; Betaproteobacteria; Nitrosomonadales; Methylophilaceae.